CCCACCCACGGACCAAGGAGUCUAACACGUGCGCGAGUCGCAGGGUAGUACGAAACCCGAAGGCGCAACGAAAGUGAACCUUUUCUUACGAAUCGGUAGGUGGGAUCCCGGACCGAAUCCCGCUCGCGGGAAGAAUGGGCGCACCACCGGCCUGUCUCGGCCGCGACGUCGGCGAGGCGGAGCAAGAGCGUACGCGUUGGGACCCGAAAGAUGGUGAACUAUGCCUGAGCAGGAUGAAGCCAGAAGAAAUUCUGGUGGAGGUCCGCAGCGAUUCUGACGUGCAAAUCGAUCGUCAAACUUGGGUAUAGGGGCGAAAGACUAAUCGAACCAUCUAGUAGCUGGUUCCCGUCGAAGUUUCCCUCAGGAUAGCUGGCGCUCAUUGGAUAAGCAGUUUUAUCCGGUAAAGCGAAUGAUUAGAGGCCUUGGGGACGUACAGACCUCAACCUAUUCUCAAACUUUAAAUGGGUAAGACGUCCGUCUCGCUUGAUUGGAGUCGGGCUGUUCGAAUGCGAGUGCCAAGUGGGCCAUUUUUGGUAAGCA
Molecule: ribosomal RNA, 540 nt
Filed under: Macrobdella decora (North American leech)
Lineage: Eukaryota; Metazoa; Annelida; Clitellata; Hirudinida; Hirudinidae
Also listed under: 1 other name
Description: partial 28S ribosomal RNA
Rfam family: Eukaryotic large subunit ribosomal RNA
Source: RNAcentral